This 253-nucleotide ribosomal RNA is filed under the name uncultured bacterium. RNAcentral describes it as "partial 16S ribosomal RNA". It matches the Rfam family "Bacterial small subunit ribosomal RNA", at positions 524 to 776 of the family's 1533-position model. The record is from RNAcentral.
UACGGAGGGUGCAAGCGUUAUCCGGAUUCACUGGGUUUAAAGGGUGCGUAGGUGGGCAAGUAAGUCAGUGGUGAAAUCUCCGGGCUUAACCCGGAAACUGCCAUUGAUACUAUUUGUCUUGAAUACUGUGGAGGUCAGCGGAAUAUGUCAUGUAGCGGUGAAAUGCUUAGAUAUGACGUAGAACACCAAUUGCGAAGGCAGCUGGCUACACAAAUAUUGACACUGAGGCACGAAAGCGUGGGGAUCAAACAGG